Unclassified non-coding RNA from Macaca fascicularis (crab-eating macaque), 148 nucleotides. It matches the Rfam family "Metazoan signal recognition particle RNA". From Rfam's summary of the family: The signal recognition particle (SRP) is a universally conserved ribonucleoprotein. It is involved in the co-translational targeting of proteins to membranes. The eukaryotic SRP consists of a 300-nucleotide 7S RNA and six proteins: SRPs 72, 68, 54, 19, 14, and 9. NCBI's taxonomy places the organism in Eukaryota, Metazoa, Chordata, Mammalia, Primates, Cercopithecidae. The record is from Ensembl.
GCCAGGUGUGGUGGUGCAUACCUGUAGUCCCAGCUACUUGGGAGGCUGAGGCAGGAGAAUCGCUUGAAUCCAGGAGGCAGAGGUUGCAGUGAGCCAAUAUCACGCCACUGCACUCCAGCCUGGGUGACAGAGUGAGACUCAGUCUCAA